This 3639-nucleotide long non-coding RNA is filed under the name Equus caballus (horse). Its description in RNAcentral is "lncRNA (ENSECAG00000057577.1)". Lineage: Eukaryota; Metazoa; Chordata; Mammalia; Perissodactyla; Equidae. The record is from RNAcentral.
UCUGCCCUUUCCUGCCUUGGAGCUUGGUGCAGUGCAUUAUUUGGUUGUGGAAAUCGGCAGUACCUCCUACGUCUGGUAAUUGCCUGGAGUGAGUCCUGUUUCCCCCUCACCAGAUGUUUCCUUAGAGCUGCUCUAAGUGAUACAUCGAUCCUGCAUGAGCUCCAAGGAGCAGCCAAGCCAUUCUGCAGGAAGAGAGCGGGUGAAGGAGGAACAGGCAGAAAUGUACAAAUGAGUUCUGGUGGGAGACCAUCAGUGCAUCGUGGAUGCUGUCCAGAGGCUAACAUCUCCUACUCCCCCAUCUUGGUGACAUCACUCACUAACACAUCGUUAAGGAUUUUUCAUUUAUAUUCAUGAGGGAUAGUGGUCUUGUCUUUGCAUGUGAUGUCUUCACUUGCCAUUGAAAUUAAGGUGACUCUGGCCUAAUAGAAUGAUGUGAGACCAGCUCUCUCCUUCUAAUAUUUUCUGAAAUAGAUGGUGGGAGAUUGGGAUUAUUUUCUCCAUUAAUAGUCAAUGGAAUUCACCAGUUGAGUCAUCUGAAUCUGGGCUUUUCUUCCCUGAAAGGGUUUUAAUUAGUAAUUUAACUUUCUUGUUUGUUACAGAUCUAUGGAGAUUUUCUAUUUCUCUUUGAGUCAGUUUUGGAAAUUUGGAUCUAAGAAUUUGCCAAUAUCUUAUAAAUUGUCUAAUUUGUGGCAUAAAGUUGUUCAUAAUAUUCUCUUAUAAUCCUUUAAUUUCUCUGUGGGUGUCCCUUUCUAAUUUCUGAUUUUGGUAAAUUCUAUCUUCUCUCUUCCUUGGGGAUGCUAGCUAAGGGAUUGUCAACUUUAUGUGGUAAACAGCCAAUUUCUGGUUUUAUUGAUGUUUGUGUUUUGUAUUUCACAGACAUGUGUUCUAAUCUUUUGUAUUUCCUUUCUUUUGCUUGUUUUCAGUUUGGUUUAUUUUCCUUUCUUUCCUUUCUUAGGGUAGGAACUUAAAUUAUUGAUUUGAGACUUUCCUCUCUUCCACUAUAGGUGUUUAAUACUCUAAAUUUCUCUCUAAGUACUGCUUUAGGGCACAUCCCAUAGACUUUGAUAUUCUAUUUUUUAAAUUUUCAUUCACUUCAAAGUACUUUCAAAUUUUGUUCCCAAUUUAUUCUUUGACUCAUAUGUUAUUCAGAUGGGUGUCAUUUAAGUUCCAAAUGUUUGUGGAUAUCCCAGAUAUAUUCCAUUCUUGAUAGCUCACAUUCCAUUGUAGUUGGAGAACAUAUUUUAUAUAAUUUCGUUCUUGCUAAAUCUGUUGAAUUUAUUUGAUGGCUGAGUACACGGUCUAUCCUGGAGCAUGUUCCAUGUGGUAUUGAAAAGAAUGUGUGUUUUGUAGUCAUUGAGUGCAGUGAUCUAUACACCUCACUUAAUUUAAUUUGGUUGAUAGUGCUGUUCAAGUCUUGUAUAACCUUGGUGAUUGUCUUUCCUCUUUUUAAUCCAUUAUGGACAGGAGGCAGUUGAAAUUUCCAAGUAUUGUUGAAUUGUCUCUUUCUCCUUUCAUUUCUGUCAAAUUUUACUUCACGUAUCUUGAAGCUCUGUUGUUACAUUUGUAAGCAUUGAUAAUUUUUAUAUCUUUCUGAUUUAAUGACAUUUUGUCAUUUGGAUAUGUCCCUCUUUGCUUCUAAUAAUAUUUCUUGUUUUAAAAUCUACAUUGUCCAGUAUUAACACAACCCUCCAGCAAUCUUUUGGUAACUAUUUGUGUGAUGUGUCUUUUCCAUCCUUCUAGCUUCAACUUCUGUUUGUCUUUGAAUCUAAGAUGUGUCUUUUGUAGAUCACGUACAGUUGGAUCUUGCUUUAUUAUUCAUUUUCCCAAUCUCUGUCUUCUAAUUGUUUUUUUUAGACCAUUCACAUUUAGUGCAGUUAUUGAUAGGAUCAGAGUUACAUUUGCCAUUUUGCUAUUUGUUUUCUGUGUCUUCAGGCUUUUUUGUUCUCUGUCCUUCCUUUAUUAACUUCUUUUGUGCUAAAUAAAUCUUUCAGUAUAUCAUUUUAAUUCCUCUAUUGAAUAUUUUUUACUGUUUUUGAGCUAUUUUCCUAGUGUCUGUGGUAGGGAUUCCAAUAUGCAUUUUAACUGACUAUGGUCCAUUUCAAACGAAUAUUAACUUAAUUCCUAUGAAAUAUAGAAUGUUUCCUCCAAUGUAACUCUGUUACUUUCCCCUCUUGUGCUCUUGUUUUUAUAUAUAUUAUAUCUAUAUAUGUUACAAAACCAAUACUAGAAUGUUACAAUUAUUUCUUUGUACAAUCUCAUGUCUUUUAAAGAAUUUAACAGAAGAAAUGAGAAAAUAUAUUUAUAGAUUCUUUUUUUUAAAACCCAGAAAUUUAUUACUUCUGGCUCUCUUAAUUUCUUCCAGCUGAUUCGAGGUACUGUCUGAUGUCAUUUUCUUCCAGCCCAAAGAAUUUCCUUUAGUAUUUCUCACAAUUCAGUUCUGAUAUCAAGAAAUUCUUCCAGUCCUUUUAAAUUUAAGAAUGUCCUUAUUUCACCUUUAUAAUUAGUGGAUAGUCUUGCUGGAUAAAAAAAUUCUUCGUUACCAUUUUUUCUUUCAGUAUUUUGAAUAUGCCAUUUCACUGCCUUCUAGGGUCUAUUUUCUCUGAUGAGCAGUUAGAUAUUAUUUAUGUUGAUGCUCUCCUGUACAUGUUCAGUUGUUUUUCUCUUUUCUUAAGAUUUUCUCUUUGUGUGUGGCUUCCAACAGUUUGACUAUGAUGUGUCUAGGUAAAACUAUAUCUUUGUAUUUAUCCUACUUGGAGUUCAGUAAGCUUCUUGGAUGUGUAAAUUAACAUUGUUUCAUCAACUUUGGGAAGUUUUGGACAUUAUUUCUUCAAACAAUUACAAUAACUAUUAGAUCCACAAUUUGAGGAGGUGUAUUACAUGAGAUUUGGGACAUUUACUGGGAACUGGGAAGUCUAGGAACCUGGAAAUUGGAAUGAUUACAUGUAUUUGGAUUCACAUAUAGCUGAACUCAUUGGGCACAAUGAGUCUCCCUUGAUUUCAUAAGCAGUUGUUUCUCCCUGUGUGAGGCUGUUCCUUCAUUGCUGGUAUUCAACUAUAGGAUGAAUCUCAAAAUCAUUAUCCUGAGUGUAAAAAAAGCCACACAAAAAUACACUGUAUGAUUCCUUUUGCAUGAAACCCUAAAAAGAUAAAACUAAUCUAAUAUUGACAGGUGUAGAGAGAAACAGUUCCCAGAUGGAGGUGUCUGAACAGUUUGAAAAGUGAUCCAAUAUACUGGGGCUCUCAAUAGAUUGCCUCAAUUACUCACUCAGAUAAGGUUUGAAUACAAGAAUAUCUUCAAGAGGGACAUUAUGUUCCUCAAUAUUUUAUAAAAUGAUCACUAGCCAUAUGAGGGUGAAUGCCAGGUAAGUACACCUCCCCCAAUUACUGCGAGGAUGGAUCAGUGUGAGGUCAAGAUUAAGGUGAAGAAAUUGUAUUCCUUCACUUACAUGGAUUUACCGAGCAUCUAGGAAGCCCAAAGUUAUUAUCAGAGGAGAAGGAUAUGGUCAAACAUAUACUACUACUUGGUCAGAACAGAUGUUCUAAACUCUGUGCACUUUGCCUGGCAGGUGUACACUUGCCUCUGCACAGCUUUGAGGCUUAUUAGACAGUUCAAGUUUGUUGUACCUGCCACACACUCUG